UCGUGCCCGAGGUGGCAUAGGCCGCGCGGGCUCCUCGGUGCGUCACGCCGGGGCUCGCGAGUCGCUCCGUUUGCGCAACUUCGCAACACACGGAUCAGAAUGUUCACAUACCAACUACCCAGCUGACCCUGCGGGCUCCACGCUGCAAACGCUCUCCUGCCUGGAGUACACAGAGGAGGUGGUGGAUCUCCUGGGUCUGUGGCGACAAGAGGCUGUGCAGGCACAGCUCCAAUCUAGCCAUAGAAAUGUCAACACUGAUGAGCAGAUCACUCAGGGGAGCGGGAGAAGGGCUACCAGAGGGACAUGCAGCAGAGCCACAUGAAAAUCAAGGAGCUGCAGUAGGCGUACCAGAAGGCAAGGAAGGCAAACAGUCACGCUGAUGCAGAGCCGCAGACAUGCAGCUUCUCUAAGGAGCUCUGUCAUCCUCAGCAGCGACACCCCCCCCAUCACCACAAGGGCCCUGUGGAUACUUCAGGGGAGCUGGAGGCACAGGCCACCAAAGUGAACCCUGAGGAUGAGGUGUUGGAAGAGGAGGAGGCAAGCUUGAUGCAGGGGUCGAACCUCUGUUGCAAAUGCGGUCUUGAGGGUCUCUCCAUCCACACCCGUGGAGUGACUUAGCCAGGUAAGGAGGAGUCUGAAGAGGACAAGGGAAGACAUGUUCCAGGAGAUCCUGCAAGCCUCUGGUGCUUCGGAUACCAAACAGAGGGCCUGGAGGAUUACACUUGAGGACAGAAUGGACAGGGAUAGUGAGGACAGGAAAAACGGACAGCAAGAGAGGAUAGUACUUCUCAGGGAGCAAACAGACAUGCUCUGGUCUCUGACUGACCUUCAAGCUCAAUAGGUCCAUGCUCGCCUCCCCCUGCAGCCAAUAGAGAACUGCAUUUUGGCACCUCUCUACACGCCCUCCCACCCAAUCCACAUGGCAUCUGGGGCCUGUGCAAUACCCCUACUACUCCACUUGGGGGAGAGUGUUUGUGAAAUUGAAUUGACUGUUCUUUCCCCUUCAAAGGUUCUUGUCCCUGUAUUUAUAAAGUUUUGUUCUGCUUUAACUAUGUCUAUUUGCAUGGGUUCAGAAUAAAAGUCUAUUUAUGGAAACUUAAUUCAUCUUUAUUAGUUCACAAGAUAUGGUGGCUGGGGUUGGCAUCAUUUCACAGAUAAUAGCAAUAGGUACAUUUGCAGUAUUAUAUUACCACAUACAGAGCUCUCAUUACAAGGUGCAUACUGGGGUACAAAGAAAAAAAUGCCAGGUGCAGCACACUAAAGCAACACACAUUACUGUGGCUCAUUGUUAUCAUGGUCCUUCAAAGUCUCCCACCCAGGGGUAGGCUGGAUCUCCCAAGAUCACUACUGGCAUUUCAACAUCCCUUUUGGUAAUCCUCUGGUCUGGAAAAGUCCCUGCAUUUGUCAUGUGCCUUCCCUGACCUGUUCAUGUUGAUGUAGGUGAAAUGACCCUGGUAAUCCACCAGCACUUGCAAUGCCAUAGAAAAGUAGCCCUUCUCUUGAUGUACUCCGUGGCAAGGUGGUGUGGUGCCAAAAUAGGGAUAUGCGUGCCAUCUGUCACUCCACCGCAGGUAGGGAACCCUAUUGCUGCAAAACCAUCCACUAUUUCUCAGACAUUGCCCAGAGUCACAGUCCUUUUUAGCAGGACACAAGUAAUGGCCCUGCACACUUGCAUCACCGCAAUCCCCACAAUGGAUUUACUAAUUCCUUCCUAAAGAAGCUGACCAAAUGCCUCACAAAGGUUACUUAGAAAUCAAGCAAGUAUA
Trachemys scripta elegans is the source of this 1766-nucleotide long non-coding RNA. RefSeq lists it as uncharacterized. The transcript is spliced from 3 exons. Lineage: Eukaryota; Metazoa; Chordata; Testudines; Emydidae. The record is from RefSeq and is a predicted model, not a curated record.